GACAGAGGGUGCAAACGUUUGUUCGGAAUUACUGGGCGUAAAGCGCGUGUAGGCGGCCCUGCAAGUCGGGCGUGAAAUCCCACGGCUCAACCGUGGAAGUGCACUCGAAACUGCAGGGCUAGAGUCCUGGAGAGGAAGGUGGAAUGCUUGGUGUAGAGGUGAAAUUCGUAGAUAUCAAGCGGAACACCGGUGGCGAAGGCGGCCUUCUGGACAGUGACUGACGCUGAGACGCGAA
This 235-nucleotide ribosomal RNA is filed under the name uncultured bacterium. Its description in RNAcentral is "partial 16S ribosomal RNA". It matches the Rfam family "Bacterial small subunit ribosomal RNA", at positions 524 to 757 of the family's 1533-position model. The record is from RNAcentral.